RNAcentral lists this ribosomal RNA (484 nucleotides) under uncultured bacterium. RNAcentral describes it as "partial 16S ribosomal RNA". It matches the Rfam family "Bacterial small subunit ribosomal RNA", at positions 30 to 507 of the family's 1533-position model. The record is from RNAcentral.
AUUGAACGCUGGCGGCAGGCCUAACACAUGCAAGUCGAGCGGAUGAAGGGAGCUUGCUCCUGGAUUCAGCGGCGGACGGGUGAGUAAUGCCUAGGAAUCUGCCUGGUAGUGGGGGAUAACGUCCGGAAACGGGCGCUAAUACCGCAUACGUCCUGAGGGAGAAAGUGGGGGAUCUUCGGACCUCACGCUAUCAGAUGAGCCUAGGUCGGAUUAGCUAGUUGGUGGGGUAAAGGCCUACCAAGGCGACGAUCCGUAGCUGGUCUGAGAGGAUGAGCAGUCACACUGGAACUGAGACACGGUCCAGACUCCUACGGGAGGCAGCAGUGGGGAAUAUUGGACAAUGGGCGAAAGCCUGAUCCAGCCAUGCCGCGUGUGUGAAGAAGGUCUUCGGAUUGUAAAGCACUUUAAGUUGGGAGGAAGGGCAGUAAGUUAAUACCUUGCUGUUUUGACGUUACCAACAGAAUAAGCACCGGCUAACUUCGUG